AUACAUGACCACUGGAAAAAGCAUAGCCUUGACUAGAUGGACUUUUGUUGGCAAAGUAAUGUCUCUGCUUUUGAAUAUGCUAUCUAGGUUGGUCAUAACUUUUCUUCCAAGGAGUAAGCGUCUUUUAAUUUCAUGGCUGCAGUCACCAUCUGCAGUGAUUUUGGAGUCCCAAAAAAUAAAGUCUGACACUGUUUCCACUGUUUCCCCAUCUAUUUCCCAUGAAGUGAUGGGACCAGAUGCCAUGAUCUUCGUUUUCUGAAUGUUGAGCUUUAAGCCGACUUUUUCGCUCUCCUCUUUCACUUUCAUCAAGAGGCUUUUGAGUUCUUCUUCACUUUCUGCCAUAAGGGUGGUGUCAUCUGCAUAUCUGAGGUUAUUGAUAUUUCUCCCGGCAAUCUUGAUUCCAGCUUAUGCUUCCUCCAGCCCAGCGUUUCUCAUGAUGUACUCUGCAUAGAAGUUAAAUAAGCAGGGUGACAAUAUACAGCCUUGACGUACUCCUUUUCCUAUUUGGAACCAGUCUGUUGUUCCAUGUCCAGCUCUAACUGUUGCUUUGUAUACAUUCUAUGAAAUAAUAUUUUUCUAUAAAUAUUUAAAGUCUUUCAAUAUAUUUAAAGUGUCUGGAAAUAGACCUAAGGGCAUACAAAACAUGAAAUAUUAAUUAAAGAAAAUCUACGGAAAUUUGGCAAGAGCAGGGACAGUCUGUCUAGAGCAUCUCAAUCAUGACCUGUUUCCUUCCUCCUGUUCCCAGCCCAACAUGAGGAACCUCCACUCCAAGCAGUUGCGGAAAGAACACAGGGCACCCUCUCCACCGAGCUCCGGGUCAAGGUCGCAUCUUUCCGACAUUCUCCCCGGGGGAACUGCUGAGAGGUGAGAUCUCCCCGCCGGACCCGAGGUUUGGCUAGCGAGUGCAAUGCCGCGGCCCGCCGGCAGACGGUGCUCGAGGAACGGCCAUAAAGCGCCUUUGCUUUCCCGGUUUCCCUCCCUUCUGUCGAGCACAGGAGCCACUGAUGAUGGGAGGAUGGCCCCGUGUCUGCUCAGCAGCACUGACGGACCAGUUCAGCAGGCGCUCAGGCCCCACUCUGUCCACCAGGCGACUCCUUCUGCAGUAGACCAGCCCUGGGCUCCCACACCUUCUGGUCCGUUGGGGGCUACUUCGGUGCACCAGCCCGGGCCACGCCCUCCACGCUGUCUAGCCCGGGGCCAGGGUCGCCUCUACAUCUGCUGAGACCGCUGCACAAGUCCACAACCAGGAGGGCGACGCUGGACACUGACCUGGGAGGGACACUGGGCCAGAGGCUCGGGGAAGCCCGUGUCUGGACAGCCCACAGCUGGCCCCGCCCAGGGGGGCGCGAUGCCUGUGGGCGCGAUGCAGGCUGAUAGCUCGGCCCCUGAGCCGGCACUCCCCAAACGCGCCUCCAGGUAAAGGACCAUCAUCGUCACUAAUAAAAUAUGGCCCCGUGACUCAGAACACCAGGCUGAGAUCUUUCCGCACUAGAGGGCGCCAGAGACCGCGGGGGUCGCACCGGCCCCCCGCGGCUGCCGCAGUCUGUCCGCCAGGGGGCGCGAGCGCUGGCCAUGCGCGGGCCCUUCCGGUCAGCGGUGAUGGGCAUAGAAGGGUCUAGUCCCAAGAGGACCGUGGGUCUCGAGGUUAGGGGUGCUCCUCACCCCAGAGGACUCAGAAAGUUAGGAGUCAAGAAACAAAGGCUUUGGGCAUGAACUAAUGAGUGACCAGCAAAAAAAAAAGAUAUUUUAAAAAUAAGGUAGAUUAGAUUUGAAGAUUAUGCAGUAUUGGGGCCAUACUUAGACUAAAAAAUUAUUCACUGGGCAUUCUGUGUUUUAUCUGCCAUCCUGCUCAUGAAAGAUGAACAAAAGAGAACCGCGAGGAUUUUUGUCUUUUUCUUUGCUCCUUGCUGUGUGUGCGUUUGUAUUUAUCAGCCACGUUCUCUUCUUCUCAGUAUUGCCUUAUGUAGGAGCUGUCAGAGGUUAGCAGAAUGUUCCGUGGAACUGUGAGUGGAUCUGAGGACCAAUUAACACAAUUGGCUGUGAUUAUAAUGACUCUUGAGAGCAGGUGUUUUCCAUUUUGGACGGAGGGUGCUAUCUCGGGGUCAAGGAUGGGGCACCCAAACGGACACCGAGGUUUCUGUGCAGCGGGUGCCAUGCCGGGCUCUGCCAGCAGAUGGUGAUGGAGGAACGCGCAAGGCCACCGCGGCCAGAAAGCGCUUUUCCCGCUUUCCUUCCUUUUAUUGAGCACAGGGGCCAGUGACGGUGUGAGGAUGGCCCCGGGUCCGCUCAGCAGCAGCGCUGACCGACUGUCUAGGACACGUGUGGCCCCCAUCUCAGCACCGAGGCCUCCCCUUUGGCAGGGGGGGUG
RNAcentral lists this long non-coding RNA (2368 nucleotides) under Ovis aries (sheep). RNAcentral's name for it is "lncRNA (ENSOARG00000025699.1)". The record is from RNAcentral. Lineage: Eukaryota; Metazoa; Chordata; Mammalia; Artiodactyla; Bovidae.